RNAcentral lists this long non-coding RNA (227 nucleotides) under Olea europaea (common olive). RNAcentral describes it as "long non-coding RNA (OEUR_LNC004539)". The record is from RNAcentral. Lineage: Eukaryota; Viridiplantae; Streptophyta; Magnoliopsida; Lamiales; Oleaceae.
CCACUAAUCCCUCAUCACAAUGCUACUCUCCUCCGUCGCACCACCAUCGACGGCCUUGUACGGUCAGCCUCGUCCCGAUGUGGUUGGUGCAGGUCCUACGAUGUGAAGCGCCGAUCUGCACGCUGCCUCGAUUGUGUUGAAAUUUUUCCUAUUGCAUCUACUGUGCGGUGGUGGUGGUCGUGGUGGCGGGUGGUCUGUGUGUGUGGUGGCAGGGGGUUAAUCUGGUG